ACUUAUAUUCUGUAGCAAGGUUAACCGAAUAGGGGAGCCGAAGGGAAACCGAGUCUUAACCGGGCGUUAAGUUGCAGGGUAUAGACCCGAAACCCGGUGAUCUAGCCAUGGGCAGGUUGAAGGUUGGGUAACACUAACUGGAGGACCGAACCGACUAAUGUUGAAAAAUUAGCGGAUGACUUGUGGCUGGGGGUGAAAGGCCAAUCAAACCGGGAGAUAGCUGGUUCUCCCCGAAAGCUAUUUAGGUAGCGCCUCGUGAAUUCAUCUCCGGGGGUAGAGCACUGUUUCGGCAAGGGGGUCAUCCCGACUUACCAACCCGAUGCAAACUGCGAAUACCGGAGAAUGUUAUCACGGGAGACACACGGCGGGUGCUAACGUCCGUCGUGAAGAGGGAAACAACCCAGACCGCCAGCUAAGGUCCCAAAGUCAUGGUUAAGUGGGAAACGAUGUGGGAAGGCCCAGACAGCCAGGAUGUUGGCUUAGAAGCAGCCAUCAUUUAAAGAAAGCGUAAUAGCUCACUGGUCGAGUCGGCCUGCGCGGAAGAUGUAACGGGGCUAAACCAUGCACCGAAGCUGCGGCAGCGACACUGUGUGUUGUUGGGUAGGGGAGCGUUCUGUAAGCCUGUGAAGGUGUCUGUGAGGAUGCUGGAGGUAUCAGAAGUGCGAAUGCUGACAUAAGUAACGAUAAAGCGGGUGAAAAGCCCGCUCGCCGGAAGACCAAGGGUUCCUGUCCAACGUUAAUCGGGGCAGGGUGAGUCGACCCCUAAGGCGAGGCCGAAAGGCGUAGUCGAUGGGAAACAGGUUAAUAUUCCUGUACUUGGUGUUACUGCGAAGGGGGGACGGAGAAGGCUAUGUUGGCCGGGCGACGGUUGUCCCGGUUUAAGCGUGUAGGCUGGUUUUCCAGGCAAAUCCGGAAAAUCAAGGCUGAGGCGUGAUGACGAGGCACUACGGUGCUGAAGCAACAAAUGCCCUGCUUCCAGGAAAAGCCUCUAAGCAUCAGGUAACAUCAAAUCGUACCCCAAACCGACACAGGUGGUCAGGUAGAGAAUACCAAGGCGCUUGAGAGAACUCGGGUGAAGGAACUAGGCAAAAUGGUGCCGUAACUUCGGGAGAAGGCACGCUGAUAUGUAGGUGAAGUCCCUCGCGGAUGGAGCUGAAAUCAGUCGAAGAUACCAGCUGGCUGCAACUGUUUAUUAAAAACACAGCACUGUGCAAACACGAAAGUGGACGUAUACGGUGUGACGCCUGCCCGGUGCCGGAAGGUUAAUUGAUGGGGUCAGCGCAAGCGAAGCUCUUGAUCGAAGCCCCGGUAAACGGCGGCCGUAACUAUAACGGUCCUAAGGUAGCGAAAUUCCUUGUCGGGUAAGUUCCGACCUGCACGAAUGGCGUAAUGAUGGCCAGGCUGUCUCCACCCGAGACUCAGUGAAAUUGAACUCGCUGUGAAGAUGCAGUGUACCCGCGGCAAGACGGAAAGACCCCGUGAACCUUUACUAUAGCUUGACACUGAACAUUGAGCCUUGAUGUGUAGGAUAGGUGGGAGGCUUUGAAGUGUGGACGCCAGUCUGCAUGGAGCCGACCUUGAAAUACCACCCUUUAAUGUUUGAUGUUCUAACGUGGACCCGUGAUCCGGGUUGCGGACAGUGUCUGGUGGGUAGUUUGACUGGGGCGGUCUCCUCCUAAAGAGUAACGGAGGAGCACGAAGGUUGGCUAAUCCUGGUCGGACAUCAGGAGGUUAGUGCAAUGGCAUAAGCCAGCUUGACUGCGAGCGUGACGGCGCGAGCAGGUGCGAAAGCAGGUCAUAGUGAUCCGGUGGUUCUGAAUGGAAGGGCCAUCGCUCAACGGAUAAAAGGUACUCCGGGGAUAACAGGCUGAUACCGCCCAAGAGUUCAUAUCGACGGCGGUGUUUGGCACCUCGAUGUCGGCUCAUCACAUCCUGGGGCUGAAGUAGGUCCCAAGGGUAUGGCUGUUCGCCAUUUAAAGUGGUACGCGAGCUGGGUUUAGAACGUCGUGAGACAGUUCGGUCCCUAUCUGCCGUGGGCGCUGGAGAACUGAGGGGGGCUGCUCCUAGUACGAGAGGACCGGAGUGGACGCAUCACUGGUGUUCGGGUUGUCAUGCCAAUGGCACUGCCCGGUAGCUAAAUGCGGAAGAGAUAAGUGCUGAAAGCAUCUAAGCACGAAACUUGCCCCGAGAUGAGUUCUCCCUGACCCUUUAAGGGUCCUGAAGGAACGUUGAAGACGACGACGUUGAUAGGCCGGGUGUGUAAGCGCAGCGAUGCGUUGAGCUAACCGGUACUAAUGAACCGUGAGGCUUAACCUU
RNAcentral lists this ribosomal RNA (2316 nucleotides) under Escherichia coli B112. RNAcentral's name for it is "bacterial LSU rRNA". It matches the Rfam family "Bacterial large subunit ribosomal RNA", at positions 626 to 2925 of the family's 2925-position model. The record is from RNAcentral. Lineage: Bacteria; Pseudomonadati; Pseudomonadota; Gammaproteobacteria; Enterobacterales; Enterobacteriaceae.